GGUGGCUCAGUGGUAGAGUACUUGCCUUGCAUGCAUGAGGCCCUGGGUUCGAUUCCUCAGCACCA
This is a non-coding RNA of Dipodomys ordii (Ord's kangaroo rat), 65 nucleotides long. The record is from Rfam. NCBI's taxonomy places the organism in Eukaryota, Metazoa, Chordata, Mammalia, Rodentia, Heteromyidae.